GUACGAGGGUCAUCGUCAGAAGUCUCGUUUUAUUCUGUGGGAUUUUUCUGAAACAACACCCUUGGAGA
RNAcentral lists this small nucleolar RNA (68 nucleotides) under Trypanosoma theileri. Its description in RNAcentral is "Trypanosomatid snoRNA TB8Cs4H2". It matches the Rfam family "Trypanosomatid snoRNA TB8Cs4H2". Lineage: Eukaryota; Euglenozoa; Kinetoplastea; Trypanosomatida; Trypanosomatidae. The record is from Rfam by way of RNAcentral.